CACGAAAAUAGCUUAAAAUACUAAAAUAACUACGAACUAACAACAUAAAUGCCAAGAAACAAGCUAACUAAGUCACAUAAAUAUGCUCCUAUCAAAUUCCCCCACACUUAGCUUUUGCUAGUCCUCAAGCAAAAUAAAACAAACAAAACAAAACAAAACGAAACACAACCUAGUCCUUCCAACAAUUGCCUCAGGGAUUUUUAAUGAAACAUGACAUGUUAAAAAUUAUCAUUCCCACAGAUUUUGGUCAUCUUCACACUUGAGCACAUACUUAAUCACAAUCACCACUUACUAGUUCACAAUUAACCAAUUAAAAUGAUGUUUUGAAUGUAGUAACAUGCCUUAGAGAAUUUGCUCAAUUCCUUACAAGAUACUCUCUAUUUUCACACAUUUUCUGACUACACACCCUACACUAGUUAUAUGUGAGAAGAUUGAUGUAAACACGAAAGACUAGGACUCACAUAUGUUAUAACAAAGAAAGCAAUUUUCUGGAGUUAUUAAGCAUGUUUAGAUAUGAUCUCAUGAAUGGAAUGCUACUACUUAGAUGCGAGAACCAGUGACACCAUAUGCUCAUACCAAUUUCGAACUCCACAAAUUGAAACACACAACACUCAAGAUUGAAGUCAAGGGUUGUAACAGGGCUUAGGGGUAAUGGCUAACAAAGAAAGGAUAGGGAUAACAAACGUUCUUAAAGCGAUAGCAAGCAAAGCAAUGAAAUAGACACUUGGAAAUCACUUUAUAAUGCAAAAUCAACUUUUAAAUACAAAGGGAAGAUUUAUGCAACACUUAGGGCCGAAUUCAAUAUUUUGGACCCUUUCUUUAACGAACAACACUUUAGAGCUCUUUUUCAUACUCUUUUCAAUUUUUUUUUUCUUUUCUACCCGUGCCUUAUUAAGGACUUUGGCACACACACAUACACAAAAAUCACUUCCCCCACACUUGCUCUCUGCAAUACAUUGAUAAAAAAGGAGUUUAUUUUAAGUCAUGCUUUACUAUGCUUUAAGACUAAGGGUAUGGAUGGUCCUAAAACUAGGCUAGGUAAGGAUAGUGUGGGUUAACAAAGAACAUAGGCUUAACAAGGCUCAACGGGGUUAAACUUAAGCACAUAAUGAAAUAGGGGCACGACAAUUUGGCUUUGGUGGUCAGUACACAACUUCAUCUUGAAUAUGUGUUAUGCAAAUCAAUAGCAUGCUUUGAAUGAAAUAGGCAUGAGUUCUAGCAUUUGGAACUAAAUGAUGAAACGCCUUCUAAGUAGCAACCAAGCAAAGAAUAAUGAGAUCAUGCAACGACUUUAGAAAACAAUGAUGCAAAGAUUAUUAACUUUCCAGAUAAACGUUUAGGCUCAAGUCUCACAAGGUUGUAGCGUUCAUUUGAGUUCCUUCCUUCAAGCAUGUUACAAAAACUGAUUUUUCCAUUAUGAUUGCAUGUGAAUUCAUAAAUUAUAACCACAACCAAGCAUACACCAAAGAGUAAAUCAAAUUUUCAUCCAUAUUUAUAACUCUCUUUAACAGUCAUGUAAUUAAAAACCAAAUCCUCAUCAUUGUGUUGGAAGGUACCCUAAGACACAAAUAAACACACAAAAACAACUCUUUUUUUUUUGGGUUUUUCAAAACAAUUUUUCAAAAUUUUAUGAGAUUUUCGGAUUUUUAUAUCAAAACACACUAAAACACUCCAAAACAGCAUAAAAACACUUAAAAAUAGCAAGGAACAACACUAGAAGUAAUGGGUGAUAAACUCCCACGAAUUUCAUGCAAAACAACUUGGUUAUCCCCCC
This 1774-nucleotide long non-coding RNA is filed under the name Malus domestica (apple). Its description in RNAcentral is "long non-coding RNA (MDOM_LNC017936)". Lineage: Eukaryota; Viridiplantae; Streptophyta; Magnoliopsida; Rosales; Rosaceae. The record is from RNAcentral.